CCCACCAAUUCAUGUAUCCCUGCAUCCGUUCAUUCCGGGCCGAGCGAUCUAAAUCCUGUGCCUCGCGCUGAGUCUGUAGAAAAAUUGUAAUUACAUGCCCGCUUCUGAACUUAACCAACAUCUCUUUUUGCAAAACUCCCCCUAACUCUAAUUCUUGAAACCCCACCCGUGAUCCCUGCACCAAGUCGUGGACUAAUGGCCUCGAUUUCCCCUGCCGACGAGACCAUGGACGCACCCGUCCUCCUCAAGUUCCUCCGCCGUGGACAACUAAUAGGGCAGCGCCGCCUUCAAUAUGGUCGGCAAGACCUUCGGCUAGUGCAGAGAGUCGAAGAGCGUCGGCGACACCGACGCCGCCGCCGUCGAGCUACUGCCGGAGGAGAUGCUGAGGGGCACCACCACCGACAUGGAAGGGGGCUAGGCAAGGUGUAUCCUGUGGAGGCAGCACACCAUGGAUCCGCCCGCCGAGCUCGACUUCAGGCCCACCGUCCCGUCGCUGCUACAGAUUGUUAUGAAUGACAUUGGUCAGGUGAUAGUCUGUCUAUCCUAGUUGAGUUCUGGAAGAUUGUUCGGUUGCGAUGGUUUACGACUUGGUCUGGCUUCGAAACUAAUCCAGUGAUUCUUGAGUCUGAGAGUGCUUAGGCGGUGUCACCAGUACAGAAAAAGGGCAUUGAUGUCUGUAGAGUCUAUAUUAUGCACCAUUUACAUAGAAAUUAUCUUAUUGUGUGAUGUACUUCUUGAACCCCGAGUGAUCAAGAUCGCAUGAAAACGAAACAAGUUGACACGUGAAUUAGCCCCAUGUAUUAGGAACAGAGUGUGGGUGUUGUAUGCUGCUAUAACUGAUUGUAAACACAUUCUUUCUGUUCAUAGAUAAAGUUAUCUCUUUAAUUGUGAUAAGGACUGGACACAUCUUUGUUCUGUUUGUAGCUAUUGGUGGCUAUCACUUACCAAUCGACAUCCGAAAUCUCAAAGGCAAGAAGUGGCUGCCAUCGCCAUGCCAAGGAUGAGAAGGAUAUGGCUGGAACGCAAUGCUCGCACAUUUGAGGGGCAAAGCACGGCCCUGGGGCAGCUCGUCCAGCUCGCCAAUGAAGAAUUGAGGAUGUGGAACUUGGCACACGCAGGGAGAAGAAGAUGACUAGUGGGUACUAGGGAGGAGUAGUUUUCUUUGUUGUAGCUAUAGCUGUUGUCGGUCUGGGUGGUUGUGCCACAUGUAAAACCUUGUAAAUCCAUUUCUCUGCCUUAAUGAAAAUGACAAGCAACAUUUGGUUGCUGGUCCUAGUAUGCUACU
Long non-coding RNA from Lolium perenne, 1285 nucleotides. RefSeq lists it as uncharacterized. Lineage: Eukaryota; Viridiplantae; Streptophyta; Magnoliopsida; Poales; Poaceae. The record is from RefSeq and is a predicted model, not a curated record.